AAGACUACACUUUCAUUAAUCCUUUCUAUAGUUUAUGACUUGAGAAUUGUGUUUCCAAAGUGUAAGGUCUCACUGACCACAAUGAAGAGUUGGUGAUGCUCCUUCUUGAAUGUGAAGUAGAUACAUGGAUCAUCCAUGUUCUCUGCUACUGAUGACUGUUCAGUGAUCUCAGUGGGAACUCAAGAAUUGUGAAGGAAUAUAUAUUUGA
RNAcentral lists this small nucleolar RNA (208 nucleotides) under Neogobius melanostomus (round goby). RNAcentral describes it as "Small nucleolar RNA U3 (ENSNMLG00000024372.1)". It matches the Rfam family "Small nucleolar RNA U3". From Rfam's summary of the family: Small nucleolar RNAs (snoRNAs) are involved in the processing and modification of rRNA in the nucleolus. The record is from Rfam by way of RNAcentral. Lineage: Eukaryota; Metazoa; Chordata; Actinopteri; Gobiiformes; Gobiidae.